UAUUGGCAACAGAGAUUGGGUUUCUCGUUUCUUCUGAUGGUGUCAAUACAGCAACGGAGUUCGAUUAAGGUUCGAAGUCCAUGCUACAAAUAUAAUGUCGCACAGUUAAGGCAGCUGUAUGACUCGAAUGUUGGACUUAGAUUGACUCAUAAAGAGUAUAAUCGUAAUGCCCUGAAACUGGCAUAAUGGGACAGCAGCAGUCUUCGAGUGAUAGCUUGGAAACAUCGCCAGCAUCUGUUGGUCCUGUUGAAGGGGGUGAUGCAGACACCACCAGGGAAGAGUUUUUGAUGGACUUUCCAUUCCUUUCGUUAAGGCUGUAGGUAUAGUCUUGGGGAGAAGAACGUUACUCUGUGACUGUUCUGGGUGAACGUGUAAAGUCAUGAUUUUCCUUCAGCAUCAACUGAGAAAUCCUGGUGGAUAAUUAAGUAAUUUUUUAAGCAGGUUUUUGAGAUGAGAAAUGUG
Long non-coding RNA from Limulus polyphemus (Atlantic horseshoe crab), 462 nucleotides. RefSeq lists it as uncharacterized. The record is from RefSeq and is a predicted model, not a curated record. NCBI's taxonomy places the organism in Eukaryota, Metazoa, Arthropoda, Merostomata, Xiphosura, Limulidae. The transcript is spliced from 3 exons.